This 81-nucleotide transfer RNA is filed under the name Cercospora zeae-maydis SCOH1-5. It matches the Rfam family "tRNA". Rfam says of the family: Transfer RNA (tRNA) molecules are approximately 80 nucleotides in length. Their secondary structure includes four short double-helical elements and three loops (D, anti-codon, and T loops). Lineage: Eukaryota; Fungi; Ascomycota; Dothideomycetes; Mycosphaerellales; Mycosphaerellaceae. The record is from Rfam by way of RNAcentral.
GGCGAAGUAGCAAAGUGGUUACUGCGAUUGACUAGAAAUCAAUUCCCUUCGGGGGCGUAGGUUCGAAUCCUGCCUUCGGUU